RNAcentral lists this long non-coding RNA (3116 nucleotides) under Sus scrofa (pig). RNAcentral describes it as "lncRNA (ENSSSCG00050029486.1)". Lineage: Eukaryota; Metazoa; Chordata; Mammalia; Artiodactyla; Suidae. The record is from RNAcentral.
GCCCCCGCUCAGGGCCACCGAAGGGUCUGGGUACUCGGGGAGGGGGGAGGCGCGAUCCGGGUCCGUGGGAGCCUCCCCAGCCCCGCAGUCCCAGCAGCAAACCGAGCGUUGUCGGACGGAUGCUCGCGCGGAGGUCCAUUUCCAGAGCGUCUCUGAGGAAGAACAAGACAGAGAAUUCCUGGUUCAGUCCCUGGAGAAAGUCAACAGGGCAGCGAGUUUCUCUCCCUGGUGCUGCUCUGGAAGGAGGACUCAGUGGUAGAGGUUUAAGGGUGGAGGAGAGGGUGAUGGUGAUGAGGGCAGAUCCGGAGGUGAGGAAAGAGGAUUUUAUUACAAGUGGAACUGGAAGCCAUUCCUGGAAUGUAGACAUUUUGCCCCUGCCACCCAAUCUGCUUCCUAGACUGAGUCGGGGAAUGGUGUGGAUAGAAAUGGCAGUGGGGGACCAGCAAGCCUGUCUUCAGAGCAGAAGGAAGGAAACAAGGAAGGAAUGAGGGAGGGAGGAAGGAAGGAGGUUCAAGGCCUUCAAUUCUGAGCACUUAAAAACGUGUGUAUUUUUUUCUUAUUUCCAUAGUAAUAUAUACCUAUUGAGAAAAACUAGAAAUUUCAGAAAAGCACACGCACAAAAUAUGCCCUGCAGUCCUGCCCCCAGACUUAACGACUAUUAAUGUUUUGGGUGCGAUAAGAAGCUAUACUGAGGCUACAGGGAGCUGAACUGUAGGAAGGGAGAGAGGAAUGUCUAUUUUUUUGUUUAUACCUUUUUCUACUGUUUGAAUUUUUCUCAGGAGAAUGUCAAAUAAAACCGAGUUAAAAUAGCACAUAAUGCAACACUUUUCUAUAUAUUGAGAUUGUGUGCAUUGAUCUCUACGAAAAUAGGGGUCAUGGAGUUCCCGUCGUGGCGCAGUGGAAACGAAUCUGACUAGGAACCAUGAGGUUGUGAGUUCAAUCCCUGGCCUCGCUCAGUGGGUUAAGGAUCCGGUGUUGCCGUGAGCUGUGGUGAAGGUCGCAGACACAGCUUGGAUCUGGUGUUGGCUGUGGCUGUGGCGGAGGAUGGUGGCAGCAGCUCUGAUUAGACCCCUAGCCUGGGAACCUCUAUAUGCUGUGGGUGUGGCCCUAAAAAGACAAAAGACUAAAUAAAUAAAUAAAUAAAUAAAUAGAGACUUGAUAAUCCAGAGUAUUACCCAUCAUCUUUAAUGGUUUUGAAGUAUUCCAGAACAUGAAUGGCCAUGUUCUUAGGGUUGAACAUAUAAGUUGUUGCCAUUUUCCACAAUGGAUUAUAAUGAUAGUCCUUGAGAAGCCCACAGUCUGCUGGGAGAAACAGACAUGGGAAAAAGUCUGUGUAAUAAUACCACACUGCAUAACUGCUGGGAUAGUGGAGUGUCCAGGAAUGGCAGGGCUCAGCUUGCAGAAGUCAGGGAGGAACCAGGCUGCAAGUGAGAGGAGGGAGGUUGGCAGGGCUUUAGGCAAAGGUAUUGAGCUAUGAAGCACUUGGCCAGCUGCUGGAAGUGGGAGUCUUUAGGUAUGAACAAGAGAUGGACCUGCCCCAUCAGGGACUCCUAGGCAAGUCUUGGGUAUGCUUCCAUGCCCAGCAUUUGGCAUAGUGGUCAGUACAUGGUCAGUGUUUAUGGAUGAAUGAAUAAGUGGGAUAAAGAGAGAGGAGCUGGAGCAGUGGGCAGAGGCCAUGGCUUUGAUGGCCAGGCUGAGGGUUUGAAAUUUGCCUGGUCAGAGAGGGUCUCCCUGAAAGCCCUCACAUGGGAAUAGGAACAGUCACAUCUGCUCUCGUGGAAAGGUUCCUUUUGGUGCCCAGGGAGAAUGAGGGUGGCUUCAUAGACUGCAAAUAGAUGGUAGUACUGUUCCCCCAUAUUCAGUGUCCUUCCUUCACUGACGCUCCCUGCAGGAGGAUUAUACGUCCCAACUGUGGUGAACACACGCAUGGCCAUGUGACUUGUUCUGGCCAAUGAAAUAUGAAUGGAAGAGUUAGGUGACAUUUUUCAGGAACAGCGUUAAGGGAUGGUGAGUUUGGGAACUGCUGUGUUCCCAUUUCUCCCCCUUGGCCAUUGUGGACAUACUGGCCAAUGUGGAGUUCCCUUCAGCCUGCCUCUGCAAAUGACUAUAAUGAGGAGAAGCCCCUAGAUGACCUGUAAAAGGCAGGUAAACAUGAGUUGAGAAAUCAGUGACAUUGCUUUAAGCCAUUAAGAUUUGGGGAGCUCUUUGUUACUGUAGUAGAACAUUGCCAUGCUGAUUGACACACAAGGGAGCUGGAGGAGCUUAAUCCCUAAGUCCCUUCCAGAUGAGCAUAACAGGCUGAGAUUCUGCCAUGCUGGCUUUUCUAUGGCCUGGACCUGUGAGUCUACUCUUGGUUUACCUAAGGAUACUCAACCUCAAGUUCCUAUAAAAACCUAGACCCAUGCCUUUCUGCUAGACCCACUUUGAACCCCAUGAGUCCUUCUCAGGUGGAGAGAAACCUAUGGCAGAAGUUUACAGCAGUUCCCUGUUAAGAUUGGGCUCCUGGGAGUUUUAUAGGGUCCAAAACCCUAACAUCCAUGUUGGGAUAAGAGUAAGAGGAGGAGGCUAGUGAGCAAAGAUACACUCUCUUUCUGAAGAGGAAAUGGAGGCUGUCAUGUUACUUUAGCCCAAAUCCCUCGUGUUAUUAGACCCAGAAGCUGCCUCACCCAGAGGGUUGUGUCUCACAGGGCUGGAGGUCUACCGAAGGAUGUCCUUAGACACAGCAGCAUCAGGCUCAGCAAGCUCCCCAAGGAUCCAGGUCCUCCACUUCCGUCCUUCAUGCUGGCUUUAUCCUCAGGAAUAUUCCCUCUUCAUGAUUACAGGGUGGCUGCCUGGAGCCAUCAGGGAUGUGGAAUUGCCUGCUUCUUCAUGCCAAAGAGAGAAGAUGAAGGAAAAGGCUCCAGCCAAUCAAUGAACAUGCACUCCUUACCAUGGCAAAUGGCACUGACUGGCUCAGACCAGCCAUUCCCAACCCCAUCAGCCCACCCCUCAAAUUACUAUCCUCAUAAAAUCUGUAAAAAAUAGAACCCACUUACACAUGUAAUUGCAAAAACAUUAACGCAAUGUAUAAAGGAAACAUCAAAGGAAAUGUACAGUAAAAAUACAUUUAUUUCAAG